This 719-nucleotide long non-coding RNA is filed under the name Nicotiana benthamiana. RNAcentral describes it as "long non-coding RNA (NBEN_LNC022037)". The record is from RNAcentral. Lineage: Eukaryota; Viridiplantae; Streptophyta; Magnoliopsida; Solanales; Solanaceae.
UCAACCACACUACAGAUUUGAACAUUAUAAACGAAGCUUAUGCCAAUAACUGAUGUUAGCAAGUUUUUGAUCGCUAAAUGUGCUACACCUGAAUAAAUUUUAUAUAUCCAUUUUCCUGCUUAGCAUCUUCUCAGUGCUAUUCCAAAAUCUAUUUACUUAAAGUAAGAUCAGAAGUAGCAACAAAACUAAACCUUUUUCUAAACAAAAGACUUCAUCAAUAUACACCAAUUCUUAUCGUCUGUGCAUAAGUUUUCUGAUUCCAGUACGCAUUAAAUCUCCUAGAGCACGCAAACGUGGACUAUUGACACCUUCAAGAGUUCUGUUACUCUUUCUCCCCAUAUAAGCCCAAAAACAUAAAAGCAUACAUAAACUUAAUAAACCCCUUUUUUGCAGGAAAAUUUAAAUCUUGCUUCAUUGCUACUAUUAAGCCUCAAUCCUUACUGAACAAAGAGGCAUCAAAAGAUUCCAUGACCAAGGCAAAUAUAAGAAGUCUUAAAAAGCAGUAAAAGAUGCAGAUGACUCUCUAAGUAGAACAAAACAACAGCAUAACUUGCACAAACAAAAGAUGUUGAAUCCACGGUGUAUUCACAUAGUAAGAACAAAGUCCUCAAACUGAUCAAAUUAAACAUGCCCAAAAUAAUAAUAAAUCCGGUAGGACUACAAAACCCCCAAAAUCAAAUCAGAAAUACACAGCUCAAUUGAAAAAACACAAUUCUCAA